AACGAACGCUGGCGGCAUGCCUAACACAUGCAAGUCGAACGAGACCUUCGGGUCUAGUGGCGCACGGGUGCGUAACGCGUGGGAACCUGCCCUUAGGUUCGGUAUAACUCCCCGCAAGGGGUGCUAAUACCGGUUAAUGUCUUCGGACCAAAGAUUUCUCGCCUUUGGAUGGGCCCGCGUUGGAUUAGCUAGUUGGUAGGGUAAAAGCCUACCAAGGCGACGAUCCAUAGCUGGUCUGAGAGGAUGAUCAGCCACACUGGGACUGAGACACGGCCCAGACUCCUACGGGAGGCAGCAGAGGGGAAUAAUGGACAGUGGGCGAAAGGCUGAUCCAGCAAUGGCGCGUGAGUGAUGAAGGGCUUAGGGUUGUAAAGCUCUUUUACCCGGGAUGAUAAUGACAGUACCGGGAGAAUAAGCUCCGGCUAACUCCGUG
This 433-nucleotide ribosomal RNA is filed under the name uncultured bacterium. Its description in RNAcentral is "partial 16S ribosomal RNA". It matches the Rfam family "Bacterial small subunit ribosomal RNA", at positions 29 to 507 of the family's 1533-position model. The record is from RNAcentral.